Apis mellifera (honey bee) is the source of this 119-nucleotide non-coding RNA. The record is from Rfam. Lineage: Eukaryota; Metazoa; Arthropoda; Insecta; Hymenoptera; Apidae.
GCCAACGACCAUACCACGUAGGAACUACUGGUUCUCGUUCGAUCACCAAAGUCAAGCUACGUCGGGCACGGUUAAUACUUGAAUGGGUGACCGCUUGGGAACACCGUGUGUUGUUGGUU